UGGCUAAUACCGCAUACUACCCGUGGGUUAAAGCGGGGGUUUUUCGGACCUUGCGCUACCGGAUACGCCUAAGUGAGAUUAGCUGGUUGGUGAGGUAAGAGCUCACCAAGGCGACGAUCUCUAGCUGGUCUGAGAGGAUGAUCAGCCACAUUGGAAUUGAGAUACGGUCCAGACUCCUACGGGAGGCAGCAGUGGGGAAUAUUGCAUAAUGGGGGAAACCCUGAUGCAGCCAUGCCGCGUGUAUGAAGAAGGCCUUCGGGUUGUAAAGUACUUUCAGCAGUGAGGAAGGGUAACAGAUUAAUACUCUGUUACUUUGACGUUAGCUGCAGAAGAAGCACCGGCUAACUCCGUGUUAGUAGUUGCGAUAAUACGGAGGGUGCGAGCGUUAAUCGGAAUUACUGGGCGUAAAGCGCAUGUAGGUGGUUAAUUAAGUCAGAUGUGAAAGCCCGGGGUUUAACCUCGGGAUCGCAUUAGAAACUGGUUGGCUAGAGUACUGUAGAGGGGGGUAGAAUUUUAGGUGUAGUGGUGAAAUGUGUAGAGAUUUGAAGGAAUAUUGGUGGUGAAGGCGCCCCCUGGACAGAUACUGACACUGAGAUGCGAAAGCGUGGGGAGUAAAUAGGAUUAGAUACUCUGGUAGUCCACGCCGUAAACGAUGUCUACUUGGAGGUUGCGGCCUUGAGCUGUGGCUUUCGGAGCUAACGCGUUAAGUAGACCGCCUGGGGAGUACGGUCGCAAGAUUAAAACUCAAAUGAAUUGACGGGGGCCCGCACAAGCGGUGGAGCAUGCGGUUUAAUUUGAUGCAAUGUGAAGAACCUUACCUACUCUUGACAUCCAGAAAAUCCUUUAGAGAUAGAGGAGUGCCUUCUGGAAUUCUGAGACAGGUGCUGCAUGGCUGUCGUCAGCUCGUGUUGUGAAAUGUUGGGUUAAGUCCCGCAACGAGCGCAACCCUUAUCCUUGUUUGUUAGUAUUUUGGGUGGGAACUCCAGGGAGACUGCCGGUGAUAAACCGGAGGAAGGUGGGGACGACGUCAAGUCAUCAUGGCCCUUACGAGUAGGGCUACACACGUGCUACAAUGGCGUAUAUAGAGGGCGGUUAAUUUGUGAGAGUGAGUGAAUUUUAAAAAGUACGUCGUAGUCCGGAUUGGAGUCUGUAACUCGACUCCAUGAAGUCGGAAUCGCUAGUAAUCGUGGAUUAGAAUGCCACGGUGAAUACGUUCCCGGGCCUUGUAUAUACCGCCCGUCACACCAUGGGAGUGGGCUGCAAAAGAAGCAGGUAGUUUAAUUUUUGGGGGGACGCUUGCCACUUUGUGGUUCAUGACUGGGGUGAAGUUGAAAUAAGGUA
RNAcentral lists this ribosomal RNA (1341 nucleotides) under metagenome. Its description in RNAcentral is "bacterial SSU rRNA". It matches the Rfam family "Bacterial small subunit ribosomal RNA", at positions 160 to 1498 of the family's 1533-position model. The record is from RNAcentral.